GAGGAUUGCACGGUAAUCGCGUUUAUAUUUAAUAUAUACGAGGAACGUCCGGACUCCAUAGAGCAACACGCCGGUGAAAUGCCGGGCGAGGUAACUCGACGGAAAGUGCCACAGAAAAUAUACCGCCAAUUUAGUUUUUCUAGAUCGGUAAGGGUGAAAAGAUGUACCUAAGAACACAUCAACGAUAUGAGUAAUCAUAAAGUUUGGUAAACCCCGUGCGGAGCAAGGUCGAAUAGGAAAUAGUGUGGCUCACACGUUUUAAGUUUCGGGUAGACCGCUACAGCCUUAGGGCGAUGACUACAAUAGAGAUAUUGUAGCUAGAUGGAUGAUUACCUCUCUUACGAGAGUAAGAGAACAGAAUCCGGCGUAAGUGCGAUCCUCUUUC
Molecule: RNase P RNA, 385 nt
Filed under: Acidimicrobiia bacterium
Lineage: Bacteria; Bacillati; Actinomycetota; Acidimicrobiia
Description: RNase P RNA component class A
Rfam family: Bacterial RNase P class A
About the family: Ribonuclease P (RNase P) is a ubiquitous endoribonuclease, found in archaea, bacteria and eukarya as well as chloroplasts and mitochondria.
Source: RNAcentral